CCAAAGGCUUUACUAAAAGCUACUAAGAUAAUCAUCCAAGCAUAUG
Non-coding RNA from Lachnospiraceae bacterium TWA4, 46 nucleotides. NCBI's taxonomy places the organism in Bacteria, Bacillati, Bacillota, Clostridia, Lachnospirales, Lachnospiraceae. The record is from Rfam.